This 253-nucleotide ribosomal RNA is filed under the name uncultured bacterium. Its description in RNAcentral is "partial 16S ribosomal RNA". It matches the Rfam family "Bacterial small subunit ribosomal RNA", at positions 524 to 776 of the family's 1533-position model. The record is from RNAcentral.
UACGGGGGGGGCAAGCGUUGUUCGGAAUUACUGGGCGUAAAGGGCUCGUAGGCGGCCAACUAAGUCGGACGUGAAAUCCCUCAGCUUAACUGGGGAACUGCGUCUGAUACUGGAUGGCUUGGAUUCGGGAGAGGAAUGCGGAAUUCCGGGUGUAGCGGUGAAAUGCGUAGAUAUCUGGAGGAACACCGGUGGCGAAGGCGGCAUUCUGGACCGAUAUUGACGCUGAGGAGCGAAAGCCAGGGGAGCAAACGGG